This 324-nucleotide ribosomal RNA is filed under the name uncultured eukaryote. RNAcentral's name for it is "partial 18S ribosomal RNA". It matches the Rfam family "Eukaryotic small subunit ribosomal RNA", at positions 1470 to 1796 of the family's 1831-position model. The record is from RNAcentral.
CCCUUAGAUGUUCUGGGCUGCACGCGCGCUACACUGAUGCGAUCAACAAGUUUUUCCUAUGUCGAUAGACACGGGUAAUCUUUUGAACUCGCAUCGUGAUGGGGAUAGAUUAUUGUAAUUAUUAAUCUUCAACGAGGAAUUCCUAGUAGGUGCAAAUUAUCAGUUUGCAUCGAUUACGUCCCUGCCCUUUGUACACACCGCCCGUCGCUGCUACCGAUUGGUUGAUCUGGUGAAUUAUUCGGACUGCCGGCUGAAGGGGUUUCCUCAUCUGCCAGCGGAAAGUCUUGUUAACCCUAUCAACUAGAGGAAGCAGAAGUCGUAACA